AUCCAGUUGACAAGUCUCAAAUAGGACGAAACGCGCGUCGUGGGU
This 45-nucleotide non-coding RNA is filed under the name Schistosoma margrebowiei. Lineage: Eukaryota; Metazoa; Platyhelminthes; Trematoda; Strigeidida; Schistosomatidae. The record is from RNAcentral.